GUGGGGAAUUUUGGACAAUGGGGGCAACCCUGAUCCAGCCAUCCCGCGUGUGCGAUGAAGGCCUUCGGGUUGUAAAGCACUUUUGGCAGGGAAGAAAAGUUUCGGGCUAAUACCCUGGAGCGAUGACGGUACCUGCAGAAUAAGCACCGGCUAACUACGUGCCAGCAGCCGCGGUAAUACGUAGGGUGCAAGCGUUAAUCGGAAUUACUGGGCGUAAAGCGUGCGCAGGCGGUUCGGAAAGAAAGAUGUGAAAUCCCAGGGCUUAACCUUGGAACUGCAUUGUUAACUGUCGAACUCGAGUAUGUCAGAGGGGGGUAGAAUUCCACGUGUAGCAGUGAAAUGCGUAGAGAUGUGGAGGAAUACCGAUGGCGAAGGCAGCCCCCUGGGAUAAUACUGACGCUCAUGCACGAAAGCGUGGGGAGCAAACAGGAUUAGAAACCCUGGUAGUCC
RNAcentral lists this ribosomal RNA (450 nucleotides) under uncultured bacterium. Its description in RNAcentral is "partial 16S ribosomal RNA". It matches the Rfam family "Bacterial small subunit ribosomal RNA", at positions 354 to 796 of the family's 1533-position model. The record is from RNAcentral.